RNAcentral lists this ribosomal RNA (253 nucleotides) under uncultured bacterium. Its description in RNAcentral is "partial 16S ribosomal RNA". It matches the Rfam family "Bacterial small subunit ribosomal RNA", at positions 524 to 776 of the family's 1533-position model. The record is from RNAcentral.
UACAGAGGUCCCAAGCGUUGUUCGGAUUCACUGGGCGUAAAGGGUGCGUAGGCGGUCGGGUAAGUCUGACGUGAAAUUUUCAAGCUCAACCGGGGAACUGCGUCUGAGACUGGAAGGCUUGAAUCCGGGAGAGGGAUGUGGAAUUCCAGGUGUAGCGGUGAAAUGCGUAGAUAUCUGGAGGAACACCGGUGGCGAAGGCGGCAUCCUGGACCGGUAUUGACGCUGAGGCGCGAAAGCCAGGGGAGCAAACGGG